UCUUCUGGACACCGAAGGAGGUUGGACUUUGGAGGCUUUGCUGGUCGUCUCUCUUUUGAAGGCCAGCUCCUCUUAAAUGAAUUAGCGGGGUCCUCUUUGCCGAUCCUCGACAUGUGAUAAGAUGUUUCCAUGUCUUGGCUUCUGGCUCUGUUGCUUUUGGGACCCGCUUCUAACCGUCUCAACCUUGCAUCGAGACAACGUUUGAGCACGUCUCCCUUCUCGGGAAACACUCUCAACCCCACGAACCCUUGACCUCAAAUCGGGUGAGACUACCCGCUGAACUUAAGCAUAUCAAUAAGCGGAGGA
RNAcentral lists this ribosomal RNA (306 nucleotides) under Russulaceae sp. Its description in RNAcentral is "eukaryotic LSU rRNA". The stretch from base 250 to 306 matches the Rfam family "Eukaryotic large subunit ribosomal RNA", at positions 1 to 57 of the family's 3401-position model. The record is from RNAcentral. Lineage: Eukaryota; Fungi; Basidiomycota; Agaricomycetes; Russulales; Russulaceae.